CCGAAUGUUACUCUUUAUUGAGUACCUUCCACCCUUUGUUAAGUCAUAAAAGUUGCUUCGGCAGACCACUUUCGAGUCGUUGACUUUUUACAGUGAACGAGUGUUUGCCGAAGAAUCAUUAUACUCUAUGUUUUAAACAGUCUAAUUGUCUAAAAUUAACAAAUAA
RNAcentral lists this unclassified non-coding RNA (166 nucleotides) under uncultured fungus. RNAcentral's name for it is "sequence contains ITS1, 5.8S rRNA gene". The record is from RNAcentral. Lineage: Eukaryota; Fungi.